RNAcentral lists this ribosomal RNA (388 nucleotides) under uncultured bacterium. RNAcentral describes it as "partial 16S ribosomal RNA". It matches the Rfam family "Bacterial small subunit ribosomal RNA", at positions 523 to 918 of the family's 1533-position model. The record is from RNAcentral.
AUACGUAGGUGGCGAGCGUUAUCCGGAAUUAUUGGGCGUAAAGGGUGCGUAGGCGGCAUAUUAAGUCUGUGGUGAAAGUGCGGGGCUCAACUCCGUAUUGCCUUAGAAACUGGUAUGCUAGAGUGCAGGAGAGGGCAGUGGAAUUCCAUGUGUAGCGGUAAAAUGCGUAGAUAUAUGGAGGAACACCGGUGGCGAAGGCGGCUGCCUGGCCUGUAACUGACGCUGAGGCACGAAAGCGUGGGGAGAAAAUAGGAUUAGAUACCCUAGUAGUCCACGCCGUAAACGUUGAAUACUAAGUGUUGGAGCAAUUCAGUGCUGUAGUUAACGCAAUAAGUAUUCCGCCUGGGGAGUACGUGCGCAAGCAUAAAACUCAAAUGAAUUGACGGGG